Molecule: long non-coding RNA, 814 nt
Organism: Setaria italica (foxtail millet)
Lineage: Eukaryota; Viridiplantae; Streptophyta; Magnoliopsida; Poales; Poaceae
Exons: 2
Source: RefSeq, a predicted model, not a curated record
GUGAGGUUAGCAAGAAAGAAGAAAAGGCAUAUUCAGCGUUGCUCAUGGGAAUAUCCUCUCGCGCGCGGGAAUAUUUUGCCGGGAAGAGCGAAUGUACCAUGGAUGCCUAGUUUUCUCUCCUGCGGUCCUGCCUUGCCCCGCGCGGGCACGUACGGCCACCAUUCCCCUCCUCAGUUACCCUCUUCCUCCUCGCUCGGUGCCUGGGUGUGCAAAUGUGCAAUACACCUUCCUAUCGAUCCCAAGCUUCAUCUCAUGUGGCCACCGGCCAAUCGAAGCCGCCGGUCGCCGACGACGCGUCCGUCGCCGGGGAGAGCAAGCAACCAUCCGUCGUGAUUACCAGGUUGCUGCAGGUUGUUGGAGCUUCUGAGUUCUGACCGGGCGGGGCAAGGCUAGCUCCUAGAAAGUUUCAGAAAAAGGGAAGCGAAAUGGUAGCAGAACAAGGCAACGAUACAGUUCUGAUCGUGAUCCGUGUUGGCUGUUGCGCCUCGCCUAGCAGACGGAAACGAAGUCACACGUAGCACAGGUUUCAGCCUCGAGAUUCCAGAUAUUAUGUUUUUUUUUUCCAGAAAAUAUGGGAGUUUAUUUUUUUUCUAUUUAUUGACGAGCCGUGAUCUCUGCACCGGGCAGAGCCAAAGAUAAGGAGUUUCAGAGGUUCAGAUAAGGCUGCAGAGUCGUCGCGUGCCUGUAAUAAACGCAUGUAAACGGGGAUGGGCAAACUUGCACGGCGACCGCGUUGUGCUAGCGAUAAGUGCCGUUCGGAAUUAGAAGGUGGUUACUGAAUACUGAUGCGAGGCAAGCUGCAUUUUGCACGUAA